GACGAACGCUGGCGGCGUGCUUAACACAUGCAAGUCGAACGGAAAAGCCCUGCUUUUGUGGGGGGCUCGAGUGGCGAAAGGGGGAGUAACACGUGAGUAACCUGCCCUUGACUUUGGGAUAACUUCAGGAAACUGGGGCUAAUACCGGAUAGGAGCUCCUGCUGCAUGGGGGGGGUUGGAAAGGUUCGGCGGUUGGGGAUGGACUCGCGGCUUAUCAGCUUGUUGGUGGGGUAGUGGCUUACCAAGGCUUUGACGGGUAGCCGGCCUGAGAGGGUGACCGGCCACAUUGGGACUGAGAUACGGCCCAGACUCCUACGGGAGGCAGCAGUGGGGAAUAUUGCACAAUGGGCGGAAGCCUGAUGCAGCAACGCCGCGUGCGGGAUGACGGCCUUCGGGUUGUAAACCGCUUUCGCCUGUGACGAAGCGUGAGUGACGGUAAUGGGUAAAGAAGCACCGGCUAACUACGUG
This 468-nucleotide ribosomal RNA is filed under the name uncultured bacterium. RNAcentral describes it as "partial 16S ribosomal RNA". It matches the Rfam family "Bacterial small subunit ribosomal RNA", at positions 28 to 507 of the family's 1533-position model. The record is from RNAcentral.